RNAcentral lists this ribosomal RNA (333 nucleotides) under Triticum aestivum (bread wheat). RNAcentral describes it as "partial small subunit ribosomal RNA". The record is from RNAcentral. Lineage: Eukaryota; Viridiplantae; Streptophyta; Magnoliopsida; Poales; Poaceae.
AUGGUGGCUUGUGGGCGGAUGUUUCUCAGACCUAAGUUGUUGCCGCUGGACCGUGGUUACAUUCAUCCUAGCUUGGAGGAAACGGUGUGGGUGGGUAUGCAUGUGCAGGGCGAAGAAGUGGACGAAGGCCGAAGAAGCAAUCUCUGCCUCCCUAUUGCUGCGUCCUGCUCCUCAAUAUGUCACCUUAGUCAUGGCCGCCUUAUCCCUCAUGCUGCUGAUUUGAAUCUGCCCUACUCUUCUUCUCCUAGACUGCUCGAGCGCUUCAGCGGGUGCCUUGCCGACGACAGGGAAGGAAGGACCAGAAGCCACGAAAUUGAGGUAUGUAGAAGAUAA